This is a long non-coding RNA of Lucilia cuprina (Australian sheep blowfly), 741 nucleotides long. RefSeq lists it as uncharacterized. Lineage: Eukaryota; Metazoa; Arthropoda; Insecta; Diptera; Calliphoridae. The transcript is spliced from 4 exons. The record is from RefSeq and is a predicted model, not a curated record.
UGCUAAUUAAUUUACCUUUAUAUUAAAAAAACGCCUAAAAGCUUUUGUGUUUAUUUCCAAGAAAAGCGUUACGUUUUUAAAUGUUCUGUUCUUCGGCAACGUUCAGAUGUAUUUAUAUACGGCUCUGCAUGCAAGUGGACUUAAACAGUCAUUCAAUAUUUAUCCUCUGAAUUAAAAGGAGAUGUUGUGCUCUGCAAGUGGUGCCCCUUCAACUAGUAUUUUUACAUAAAAACUCUAACCCCUUUUGUAAUAGUGCCAACUGUACAAGUAAAAGUAUCUUUUAGACAAUUAUCGCUUCAUUUCCUGCAGGUAAAAAAUGUAACUCAAGUUCUGUGAAAAAAAAAAUUAACAUACAUAUGGAUUCAGUUUCAGUUUUUGACGUUUAUUUUAAACAAAUGAAUAGUCGCGAAUUCGGUGGAAAAUUGUUCCUAGCAUUAUGGACAGGAAUUGAAAAAGUUGCUACCAAUAUGAAUACAGCUUUAACCAUUUAUAAAAUAAAAAAUUAUUUAGGAGUUAGUCCUUACAUUGUAAUAUAAAAUUAUUUUGAAUAUUAUUCUAACGUCCGUAUCUUAAUUAAAGCGUUUUUCGUUGAAUUCCUUAAUAAAUUUUUUUGGAAACAAAAACCAAUUUAACAUGAACAAUAUAAACCUCAUAUUAAUUAUAUAUUUUUUAUCUAAUCAAUAUUGUUAAUGAAAUGUACAAAAAAUAAGUUAAGUACGUCAUAUGCAUACGACAUUAAAA